GUGGGGAAUAUUGGACAAUGGGCGCAAGCCUGAUCCAGCCAUGCCGCGUGAGUGAUGAAGGCCUUAGGGUUGUAAAGCUCUUUCAGUAGGGAAGAUAAUGACGGUACCUACAGAAGAAGCCCCGGCUAACUUCGUGCCAGCAGCCGCGGUAAUACGAAGGGGGCUAGCGUUGUUCGGAUUUACUGGGCGUAAAGCGCACGUAGGCGGAUCGUUAAGUCGGGGGUGAAAUCCUGGAGCUCAACUCCAGAACUGCCUUCGAUACUGGCGAUCUUGAGUCCGGAAGAGGUGAGUGGAACUCCUAGUGUAGAGGUGGAAUUCGUAGAUAUUAGGAAGAACACCAGUGGCGAAGGCGGCUCACUGGUCCGGUACUGACGCUGAGGUGCGAAAGCGUGGGGAGCAAACAGGAUUAGAUACCCCUGUAGUCC
This 425-nucleotide ribosomal RNA is filed under the name uncultured bacterium. RNAcentral describes it as "partial 16S ribosomal RNA". It matches the Rfam family "Bacterial small subunit ribosomal RNA", at positions 354 to 796 of the family's 1533-position model. The record is from RNAcentral.